CUCAUCAUGAAAGCGGCGGACUGGUGAGUAACGCGUGGGUGAUCUACCUUGAGGACGGGGAUAGCCGUUAGAAAUAGCGGGUAAUACCGGAUACGGUCACGGGGUUAUGACUCUGUGAAGAAAGGCGCUAUGGCGCCGCCUUAAGAUGAGCCCGCGUCCCAUUAGCUAGUUGGUGUGGUAAAAGCGCACCAAGGCGAAGAUGGGUAGCCGGCCUGAGAGGGUGAACGGCCACACUGGGACUGAGAUACGGCCCAGACUCCUACGUGGAGGCAGCAGCUAAGAAUAUUCCGCAAUGGACGAAAGUCUGACGGAGCGACGCCGCGUGGAUGAGGAAGGCCGAAAGGUUGUAAAAUCCUUUUGCAGACGAAGAAUAAGGCGGGUAGGGAAUGACCCGUUGAUGACAGUUAGUCUGCGAAUAAGCCCCGGCUAAUUAC
This 434-nucleotide ribosomal RNA is filed under the name uncultured bacterium. RNAcentral describes it as "bacterial SSU rRNA". It matches the Rfam family "Bacterial small subunit ribosomal RNA", at positions 83 to 504 of the family's 1533-position model. The record is from RNAcentral.